ACUUACUAAGUGUCAGGCAUCCUCACACAACCUUCUGAUGUUUUCCCUAUUUUAUAAAUGAGGAAACUGAGACACAGAGCUGUAAUUUACCCAAUGUUAUGUAAACUAAUAGGAAGUUGAGUCAGGAUUUGAAUCCAAGCCUCCAGGACACUCAUAUUUUGGGAACACAGGGCAAGCUAUGGAACUAAUUUAAAAAGAUCAAUAGAAUUGCAGGGACAGUGUUGUCAUGGAGGGGAAAGUUGGAGGAGGAAAAGGACUACGAAAGUCACCUGAUCUGCCUACAAGGACGUCAAUGGAAGACCCUAGUGAAGGUGGUUUUCUUGGAGGAGUGACAGCUGAAGCCCAAUGACAGGGUCUCACUCUGUCACCCAGGCUGGAGCGGUGCCAUCACAGCUCACUGCAGCCUGGACCUCCCAGACUCAAGUGAUUCUCCCACCAGAGCCUCCCAAGUAGCCAGGACUACAGAGCAAGAGCUCCUGUUAUUG
Molecule: non-coding RNA, 485 nt
Filed under: Pongo abelii (Sumatran orangutan)
Lineage: Eukaryota; Metazoa; Chordata; Mammalia; Primates; Hominidae
Source: RNAcentral